Molecule: long non-coding RNA, 9492 nt
Organism: Manihot esculenta (cassava)
Lineage: Eukaryota; Viridiplantae; Streptophyta; Magnoliopsida; Malpighiales; Euphorbiaceae
Exons: 2
Source: RefSeq, a predicted model, not a curated record
AUGAGUAUGCACAAUUCACUCAAUACUAGACAUCUCUGAAAUCCUCUAAUUCUCCUAUCACUGCAAUUGCUGAGUUAGGUAACUCUGCUGUAUGCCUUGUGUCUUCAUUCUCAAAAUGGAUUAUUGAUUCUGGUGCUACCGAUCAUAUGUGAGGAUCUUUCAAUGAAGCAGAUUAUUGGUAAAGGACGUGAGUUAGAGGGUCUUUAAGAAAAUUCCUAGAUCUCUUACAUGUUCCAUGAGUUUAACUCCUUUUGAUGUUCACUGUCGGUUGGGGCAUUAUUUUCUCUUUGUUUUAAAGAAGUUAUGUCCACAGUUUCAAUCUUUAUCUGUUUUAGAUUGUGAGUCGUGUUAAUUUGCCAAACAUUAUCGUUUACCUAUAGUGUCUCGAGUCAAUAAACGAGCUUCGUCCCUCUUUGAGUUAGUAUAUUCAGAUGUUUGGAGUUGUUGUCCUAUUGUGUUUAAAUCUAGAUUUAAGUACUUUGUUAUUUUUGUUGAUGAUUUCUCUUGGACUAUUUGGUUAUUUUUAAUGAAGUGUCAUUCAUAACUAUUCUCUAUUUUUUGUGCUUUCUAUGCUACAAUCUAAACUCAAUUCAAUAUUUCUAUUCGAAUAUUGCAAAGUGAUAAUGCUAAAAAAUAUUUUUAUGGGGAAUUUCAAUCUUAUUUGUCACAAAAAGGAUUCUUCAUGUUGACACUCCUUAAUAGAAUGGGGUUGCCGAAUGAAAAAAUCGACAUCUAUUUGGAGUAGCUAAAGCUCUCUUAUUCCAAAUGAAAGUCUCUAAAUGUUCUUGGGCUGACGUUGUGUCCAUUGCUUGAUUUUUUAUCAAUCGCAUGCCAUUCUCCAUUCUUCAUGGUGAUAUCUCUUGUAAUAUUUUAUUUCCCACUAAAUCUCUGUUUCCUAUGAAACCAAAUAUCUUUAGGCGUACUUAUUUUGUUCGUGAUAUUCGUCCACAGGUUACUAAAUUAGAUCCCAAAUCACUCAAAUGUGUCCUUUUUUACUACUCUCGGCUUUAAAAAGGGUAUUGUUAUUUUUCUCCUGAUCUUAGUCAGUAUUUUGUAUCUGCUGAUGUAAUAUUUUUUGAGUCCACCCCGUUCUUUCCACCAUAUCUGUUUAUGUGACAUAGGGGAAAGAAGAUGACCUCUUGGUAUACACUGUUCGUUCUUUGUCUGACCCUCAAAAUCUUCCUGCACCUUUCGCUCAUGUGCCAGAUCACCUUCCUAUUUUUCAUGUUUAUUCCAAAUGCCUAUAGGACUUUGACUAUGCUUCGCUGCCAGCUUCUUUGUCGAUGGACCCUGCUCCCACCGAUCCGUCACCAUUUGACUUGGAUCUGCCUUAUUGCGCUUCGCAAAGGUAGACAUACUUGCACUCAUCCUAUUUCGUCUUUUCUUUCUUAUGAUCAAUUAUCUUCUUCUUUUUGUUAUUUUGCCAUUACUGUAGAUUCUAUGUCAGUCCCCAAAUUGUUUGUGAGGCUUUAGUCCUUGUUGGCAUAUUGCGAUGGAAGAGGAAAUAAUGGCCCUAGACACUAAUGGUACUUGGGAGUUGGUGCCAUUGUCUCUAGGAAAGCGGGCUAUUGGGUGUAAGUGGGUGUUUGUAGUGAAAGUAAAUCCUGAUGGAUCUGUUGCUCGCUUCAAGGCUCGUUUAGUGGCCAAAGGUUAUGCUCAAGCUUAUGGAGUUGACUAUUAUGAUACUUCUCUCUCCAGUUGCCAAACUCACAUCUAUUCGAUUGUUCAUUUCCUUGGCAGCUACAUAUGGUUGGCCUUUGCGUCAAUUGAAUAUUAAAAAUAUUUUUCUUUAUGGUGACCUUCAGGAGGAAGUUUAUAUUGAGCAACCACCUGACUUUGUUGCUCAGGGGGAGUUAGGCAGGGUUUGUAGACUUCGAAAAUCUCUCUAUGGCUUGAAACAGAGUCCUCAAGCAUGAUUUGGCAGGUUUAAUGAGGUGGUCCAACAGUUUGGUAUGCAGAUGAGUAAGUGUGAUUACUCGAUGUUUUAUAGAAAUUCUGCUUGUAGUGUAUGUGGAUGAUAUUAUUAUCAUAGGAAGUGAUAUUGCUGGCAUUACAUCUCCAAAAGAAUUUCUAAAAGUACAGUUUUAUACAAAGGAUUUGGGCUCCUUGAAAUAUUUUUUGGGCAUUGAAGUUAUGCAGUGUAAGAAAGACAUUUUUUUAUUUCAAAGAAAAUAUGUUCUUGAUUUGUUAACGGAAACGGGAAAAUUGGGUGCUAAGUGUUGGAGAAGUGAGAAUCCCACAUUAGUAAAAGAAAGAAGAAAGGAAGAGUUAAUAAAGUAAAAUGAGCCAAAUCCAAAUUGCCUAAGGGCCUAAAGGCAUUUUGGAGAAACUACCACAUCAUGCUCAAUUAAGCCCUACUAUGGGGCCUAACACUCUCACCAUAUGCAGACUUGGACCGGACCCAUCAUUAAAUUCCAACAGUGGUAUCAGAGCUCAAAUGGCCUAACAGCCAACGAAGAUCCAAAGUCUAAGAAAUUUCCUAGUGAGUUGGGUUAGCAAUUACAUGCUAGACCCAUAAGUUAAAAAUAUUGAAGACAGCUUGUGGCCUUUGAGGUUCAAGAAGAGUACAAGCCAAGGCAAAAAUGAGAACCUGAGGCCUCUGAGACUAAGAAAAGAACACAAGCCCAGGAUGAUAAAAUGAAGCCAAGUGACAAAUGGGCUAGGCCAGUUGGACUUGAGGGGGAGUGUUGGAGAAGUGAGAAUCCCACAUCGCUAAAAGAAAGAAGAAAGGAAGAGUUAAUAAAGUAAAAUGAGCCAAAUCCAAAUUGCUUAAGGGUCUAAGGGCAUUUUGGAGAAGGCUACCACAUCAAGCUCAAUUAAACCCUAUUAUAGGGUCCAACACUUUUAUCACAUGCAGACUUGGAUCGGACCCAUCAUCAAAUUCCAACAGAAGUUUUGUAGUGCACCAAUGACUCCUAAUCUUUUAACUUACUAUAGAAGACAGUGAGUUAUUCGCAGACUAUGAAAUGUAUAGAAGAUUAAUUGGCAAGCUGAAUUAUUUGACGAUGACUCGUCCUAAUAUUGCAUAUUCAUUGAGUGUGGUGAGUCAAUUUAUGUCUUCUUCUACUGUUGCUCAAUGGAAUGCUUUGAGGCAGAUUCUUUGCCUACUUAAAAGGGGCUCCAGGAUGUAGCCUUUUCUAUGGUAACUAUGAGCACUCAGAUAUUGAAUGUUUUUCUGAUGCUGAUUGGGUAGGUUCAAAGGUUGAUAGGAGGUCAACACUGGAUAUUGUGUUUUUGUGAGAUGUAACCUAGUCUCAUAGAGAAAUAAGAAGCAAAAUGUGGUUUCUUGUUUCUCGUUCUAGUAUUGAAUCUGAAUAUCGAGCUAUGGUAUAAGCCAUAUGUAAAGUCUUGUGUAUGUGUCAACUGUUAGAAGAGGUUAAAUUCACAAAUUUGGUGCCUGUUAAGUUAUGGUGUGAUAAUUAAGCAGCAUUGCCUCUAAUUCAAUAUUUCAUUAGAGGACCAAACAUAUCGAGAUUAACUGUCAUUUUGUUUUAUUUCAAUAGGACAUAUCAGAACUGGAGAACAAUUACGGUAUAUAUUUACUAAAGCUCUAAAUGGAACUAGAGUUGACUAUAUAUGUAACAAGUUGGACAUGAUUAACAUCUAUGCUCCAACUUGAGGAGAGUGAUAUAGGAAGUAGGUAUGUUGAUACAGGAAGUAAAUAUGGAUAGAUUUGUUAGUUGCUUAAUCUUAAAAAUUGCAUAAAAGGAUUCCCUUUCCUUUUUAGAUAUGUUUUUUUUUAUGUAUAAAUAUAUUGUAAUAUCUAUUGUAAUAUACACAAGAAAUAUUACUUAUCUGCAGAGCUGAACUGCUAAGGUGUGUCUAGAGGUGCAACCUAAAAUAUUAUUAGGAACUUUUGAGGUUAGGAAAAGAUCCAAGGUGUUAAAUCUAGAAAUGUGAAAAAUACUUUAAGGGUUAUAAUGGAUCUAAGAAGCAGAAGGUGUACAUUUGAAUGGAAGAAUUGGGUGAUUGUGAUAAAGUUAAUCUUCAGUUAAUGCUCUUGAAGGUAUUCAAGAAGUUGAUACAAUAAAUGUUGUUGGGGUUCAUAAAAAACUGGCAAUUAGUCAUCUUAAUUGACAGUGGUAGUACCAAUCGUUCUUUUGGAAAGGGGAGUAAAACAGGAACUCAAAUUGCCAUUUAUUCAAAAUGCCCCACUGCAAUUACAGUCGCAGAUGGCAGGAAGAUUAGUAGCAGGCAUUUGUGCAAGAGUGAACAUGAAAAAUGUAAUUUCACCAGUUCGGUAUUGAUCUAAAGUUAUGGAGUCAGUAGUUUUGACAUCAUUCUAGGAGUAGAUUGGAUGAAAAGCUUCCAUUCCAUUCUUUUUUACUUCAAAGCUUCUAAGAUCAAUUCAAGGAGAGCAGGGACCAUAGCUACAUUGCAAGGAAAGUGGGAUUUUUUGGUGAUCACAAGAAUAAGGGUUUGUGAAGAUUACCAACACUUAAUUCAUAAGAAAGGAGUGGAUGCCAAUCUCCUCUCUUCUGUACUAAUGCCCUGCGGUCAGCCAGAUGUAAUGGACAGUAAUGUUGCUUAAUGAUGGCACAGCCAGUAGAAUCUUGUCCUGUUCUGCUAACAGGGAGGCAGUAAGCCAAUCAUGUGAUACUGAUUCCAGUAGUGAUUUACCAAAUAUGAAGGAAGAUGUUGUAGUAGUAGUAGCUCCUGAGGCAUUCCUGCAGACAGGAGUGGACACUAGAGGGACCCAACAAUCCUUACAAGGUCUCAUUAUUCAUAGGACCUUCCUGUUGAAGAUGCCUUCAUUGUAGCUCAAUUUCCAGACUCGCUCUGUCUUGGGGACUAGAAAGUGGUAUAGUUGAGUUAUUGUCAACUGAAGGUUAAAAGGAAGAUCAUUCCAGAAGAUUCAGCAGCAGUUAGCUGUUAAAUGGUAUGUUGGCUGAAGGAAGGCUAUUGCUAGUUAGCUGUUAAAUUGGUGUGUUGGCUGAUUGUAUGAGCUGGAAUUAGUUACACCAGCUGGAUAAAUAGCUGUAACUGCUAUACAAGUCCUUAUUCUAUCCAAUAGGAUUUCUGUAGCUGAUUGGUGAUUCCUGAAUUAGCAUUAUAACUGGAGAAGAUAUUAUUCCUGUAUUUCCGUUCCAUUAAUUUCCAGAAAAGAUCUUCUCUUUUCUCUUUAAUUUUCCUCUCAACUUUAUUCCUUUCCUCUCAAUUUCCCUUUCUUCUCAAUUGCUUUGUUAGAUUCCAUGACCCUAACAGGGUAUUAUGAGGCUAAUGGAAAAACUAUGCAACCAAACUAAGAAAUGUACUUUUUUUAGAUGUGACUUUUUGUUGCUGGCUUCGGCCCUUCAUUUUAAUCAGAUGUUGAAUUAGUCUUAAUUAGUCAUUAAGAUUUUAUGACUUAUGAUUAUUGCUCAUUGGUUCCUUACAAUGAUGAACUUUGACUCUGUAUUUUUUUCCCCUUCUUUAUUCAUCGUCUUGUUAUUGUUUUAUUUUUUCUUUUUGGAAGAUGAGCUGAUAUUAGGAGUUAUUUCCUUUUGAAAUUCUAAUGUGAUGGUUAGUAGGUAUUCUUUUCCUUCUUUUAGCAAGAACUCAAUUUUUUUUUGUUCUUGAUCCUCUAUGGGUAGUUUUGUAGCUAAAUCUUGUCCCCUCUUCUUAUAUUUUGGUUCAUUUUAUAGCUACAAUUUCUAAAUGCAUGGUAGUUUCUUAUUUGAGAGGAUAUGCUUUGCACCUGGUGGCGUUAUUUUUCACAACAGCAAUGUCGACUUUGUGGAUAGUUGUUUGUUUCUGGUUGAGCCCUAUUGGGACAAUUGGUAGAGGAUAUUAUUAUGAUAAGGAGAAUAAAAGUGAUAAAAAAUAAAUAGAAGGUAUUGAGGGUUGAAAUUGUAAUAAAUGGAUAGAGUAGAAGAUAGUAACUUAGCUAAGAAUUAGUUAGAGGGUGGAGUGCCGGAAACAGUUAUUUUAGAGAUCUAAAAGCUGUAUAAAUUACAACCGUUGUAACUGAAGGGGAACUAUUCCAAGAAUUAUCAAUACUAAUCGAUCUUUCUUCUUGUGUCCCUCUCUUUGUAAUUCUCUCUACUCUGCAUUUUUCCCCUUUCUUCUAUUUCUCUCCCUUUCCUCUCUUUCUGACUUAUUAGGGAUUCAAUUCUUAAUAAUUGGUAUCAGAGCCUAGGAUUCAAAGGCCCUAAAUUCUAGGUUUCAUCGGCCCUAAAUUCUAGGUUUCUUCUUCUUGAAAUCCAAAUUUCUUUUACUCUUCUACCUAUAAUUCUUCUUCUCUCUUUCUUGAAUAUCUUCCUUUCUUGAAUUUCUUGGAAAUCCAAGAAAUAUCAAGAUUCUAUUCAUUUUCCCCUUAAAUUCUGUUGUAUUUCUUAUAUUUCCUUUGUUUCUCUUUUAAUCUUCAAUCUUCUCUGAUUCUUUCUGUCAUUUAUGUUUCUCUUCUCAACUGCUCUUUCUCAUACAUCUAUCAAUAAUAGAUUUUCCCCUUUCUUUCUCUCUCCUUUCUUCUAUUUCUCUCCAUUCCCUCUCUUUCUAACUUGUUAGGGAUUCAAUCCUUAAUAAUUGGUAUCAGAACCUAAGAUUCAAAGGCCUUAAAUUUUAGGUUUCUUCUUCUUCUUCUUGUUGAAUCCAAAUUUCUUCUACUCUUCUACCUAUCAUUCUUUUUCUCUUUCUUGAAUUCUUCCUUUCUUGAGUUUCUUGAAAAUACAAGAAAUAUUAAGAUUCUAUUCAUUUUCUCCUUAAAUUCUGUCUAUUUCUCAUCUUUCCUCUGUUUCUCUCUUUAAUCUUCAAUCUUCUCUAAUUCUUUCAUUUCUGUGAUGCGGUGCAUUUAAGGAGAAUAAGAGCAGCUGCUUGUCACGUGCAUGAGAAACGCUAAACGCGUGUGAGAGGAUUGUAUCCUGAGAGAGUUAGUUACGGCUGUUACCGAUGAGUUGUAUUUAGCUCCCAUAGGACUAACAAUGUAAUCUGUUUUUUUAGCAAGUUUUGCCAAAUACUAGAGAAAGCUCUCUCUAUUGCCUCUCUAAACUCUAUCUUGAUUCUUUCUACUUCUCUCAAUCUGUCUCUUUCCUUCCUUCUUCUGUAAUUUGUCUUAGUUUAUCAAUUGGUAUCGGAGCAUUCGAUUCUUGGAAAUGGCUGAAGGUACAAGGUCACAUGAUCUCCGAAAGGAGCUGCCUAAUUUGGUUUUUGAAUCUGAACAAAGGCAGGAGGCGAGGUUGGAGUCUAGGCUCUAGGAUAUGGUUUCAGAACUUAAAUCCCUAAUUGCUCAACUCAGCAAACAACAAGCUGACUUAGUAAGCAGUCGUAACGAGGCCAACGCAUCCUCGAAUGUUGAAGGACUAUACAACAGUCCAUGGGGAAAUAAUGCAAAAUUGGAAUUUCCUAGUUUCAAUGGAGAAGUGGUGGAUGGAUGGUUGCUUAGAUGUGAGUAUUAUUUUGAGGUAGGAAGGGUGUCUGCUGAGAAUAGAGUGAAACUUGCAACUCUAUAUUUAGAAGGAAAAGCAAUCCAAUGGCACCAGGGCUAUGUUCAAGUGAAAGGGCGUGAAGCUUAUUUUAGUUGGGAGGAAUAUUUGAUGGCUUCGACAGCAAGGUUUGGAGCACAAGCCUAUGAUGCCCCCAUUGCAGAUUUGGGAAACCUGAGGCAAGUUGGGUCUCUCCAAGAAUAGCUGGAUGCAUUUGAUGAGCUGUAUCCUAAGGCAAGAAUUCCUGAAGGUAAUGCAUCGAGUUUUUUCCUUUCUGGGUUAAGUGAUGAAUUACAAAUAGCUAUUAGGAUGUUUAAACCAACCAUGUUAGCUGAGGCAUAUUCAUUAGCUAGGUUGCAGGAAUUACAUGUUGCAGCCAUUCGGCAGAAACCAAAAACACCAGUCAAAUUACCUACCACAAACGCUUACUAAACCCAAUUCCAACAGACCAAACUUACAAACAGUACCUCUCUUAAUAUCCAAAAUACCCAUAACAGAAAUAGUCCUACCACCAAAGACCAAAUAGGCCUUUUACCUACCCCAAACAUACCCAAAUCGACUACCAGCACUUCCAAAAUGCCUACUACCUUGACUAGCAAAGAAAUAGAUGAGAAGAGGGCUAAUAAUCUUUGCUAUUGGUGUGAUGAGAAAUAUUCAUCCACUCAUAAAUGUCAGAAAAAGAAAUUGUAUGUGUUGCAGAUCAAAGAAGUUAUUGAUGAGGAGGUAUUGGAAACCAUGGUUGAGGAGGAAGUGGACUGUAAGAUUCUUGUGAGGAAAUUGUCCAUGAAAUAUGAAUGCUAUGUGGGGUGAAGGUGAUGAUCAAGCCAUGUUGUUGGAAGGUAAUGUGGGGAAGCAAAGGAUGCACAUUUUGGUAGAUACAUGGAGCACUCAUAACUUCAUGAGCCAAAAACUGAUUGCCAAACUUAAACAGCCUGUUACUGAAAUAAAAGGAACUUGGGUGGAAAUUCCUAAUGGGCAGUAGAUAAAGUGUGAAUCUAUGUGCAAGUAAUUUAAAUGGACUAUGCAGGGACAUUCAUUCAUAGCAGAUGUGUAUGUGUUGCCAUUAGAGACUUAUGAUUUGAUAUUGUGCAUUAGGUGGUUGAAGAUGUUGGGAAAGAUACAGUGGGACUUUAAUGACAUGUCCAUGAGCUUUAUGUAAAAUGUUAAGGUGUUAUACUGAUAUUCUAUUUGAUUCUCUAUAUAAACUUACAAAAGAUGUAGCUUCAAUAUUCAAGUCUUAUACCCUUUAGAGGAGAGGACUGGAGAUAAAUUUUGUACUUGGUAAGCCACGUUUUUUUUUGGGAAUUUUGAGAACGCAAAAUAUUAAUAAUUUACAUUUUAAUAGGGUGUGAUACCAAUUAUUUGAUUAUUUAUGUACAAGUUAUAAAGAUGUACCUUCUAUAUUCAAAAUUGAUUUGAUUGAAUAAAUGUUGUUUUGAUAUGAGAAGUUCUAUUUUGAUAGCUUUUUGCCAUUAAUAUCCCAAUGUCUAAGGUACAGCUCACCCUUGGUUUUCUUUUUCAUGCCCUGUCUUGACCUAGUUUGAAUUGUAUUUUCAGGGAAAAUUGAUAUAUAAUAUAUAGGGUAAAAUACAAAAAAAUACAUUGUAGUUUUAUUAAUUUUUCACUUUAGGGUAUAUAAUUCAAUUUGUGUUAAAAUAGUAUUUAUGAUAUCACACCGAUAGAAAACAACGGUAAUUCCUAGACGUCGUUAGGAAUGUUAAUGUAGAAAUCAUAUUACGAGGUACUAAUUUGACACAAAUUGAACCAUAGAUCGUAAAGUGAAGAUGAGUGAAACCAAAUGAUACUUUUUUAUAUUUUUUUCUUUUAAUUAAUGAUUAUAUUUUGCUUGCUACUUAAGCAUUUCCUGACGACUUCUAGAAAUUGUCUAUGUUUGCUAACGAUACGAUAUCACGAGAUACGAUUUUGAUACAAAUUGAACCAUAGACCUUGAAGUGAAAAUAAAUAAAACAACAUAGUACUUUUUUGUACUUUUCUCUUAUAUAUAUGUGUGUGUCAGUACUAUUAUUUUUAAUAAAAUUAUAUUUUGCAUGAGUAAGUUGCAGUAAUAAACUAUUGCCAAAAAAAAAAAAAA